UACGAAGGGGGCUAGCGUUGCUCGGAAUCACUGGGCGUAAAGGGCGCGUAGGCGGCAAAUUAAGUCAGCUGUGAAAUCUCCGAGCUUAACUCGGAACGGUCAGCUGAUACUGAUCUGCUAGAGUGCGGAAGGGGCAAUCGGGAAUUCUUGGUGUAGCGGUGAAAUGCGUAGAUAUGCGGAGGAACACCGAUGGCGAAGGCAAUCCCCUGGGCCUGCACUGACGCUCAUGCACGAAAGCGUGGGGAGCAAACAGG
RNAcentral lists this ribosomal RNA (254 nucleotides) under uncultured bacterium. RNAcentral describes it as "partial 16S ribosomal RNA". It matches the Rfam family "Bacterial small subunit ribosomal RNA", at positions 524 to 776 of the family's 1533-position model. The record is from RNAcentral.